Colius striatus (speckled mousebird) is the source of this 248-nucleotide long non-coding RNA. RefSeq lists it as uncharacterized. The record is from RefSeq and is a predicted model, not a curated record. Lineage: Eukaryota; Metazoa; Chordata; Aves; Coliiformes; Coliidae. The transcript is spliced from 3 exons.
CGCGGGAGGAGACCGGGACUCCGCUGUGCCUCGGAGGGGGCCCCCGCGCCCGGUCCCGCCGCUCUUAGCCCCGGUCCGCUGUGUCGGUCAGAGGUGGCCCGGGGGCCGCCGGCUGGAGGUAGAGCCGAAGAAGGAUCUGCAGCCUUGGAGAGAUAGCCCUGCUGCUUCCACGUUCACAUGAGGUUGCCUGGGCUGGGGAAUCUUUAAGCUGAAGGGCAGUAGUGCUGCUGAAACUUGGGUGUCUGGCU